AGUUCGAUUAUGGCUCAGAUUGAACUUUUGGCGGGAUUGCUUUACAUGCAAGUCCGACAGCAGCACGGACUUCGGUCUGGUGGCGAGUGGCGGUAGGUAGAGUAAUGUAUCGGAACGUGCCUAGUAGCCCGGGGAUAACUACGCGAAAGCGUAGCUAAUGCCACAUACGCCUUCGAAGCGGGGACCUUCGGGCCUCGCACUAUUAGAGCAGCCGAUAUCGGAUUAGCUAGUUGGUGGGGUAACGGCUCACCAGGGGCGACGAUCCGUAGCUGGUUUGAGAGGACGACCAGCCACACUGGGACUGAGACACUCCUACGGGAGGCGGCAGUGGGGAAUUUUGGACAAUGGGGAAACCUGAUCCAUGCAUCCCGCGUGUACGUCAAGGCCUUCGGGUUGUAAAGCACUUUUGGCGGGGAAAGAAACGGCACGGGAUGACACCCGUGCAGCCUUCAACCUGCAGAAUAAGCGCGGCUAACUACGUGCCAGCAGCGCGGUAAUACGUAAGUUACGAAGCGUUAAUCGGAAUUACUGGGCGUAAAGCGUGCGCAGGCGGUUCGGAGAAGAUGUGAAAUCCCAGAGCUUAACUUUGGAACUGCAUUUUUAACUACCGAGCUACGUGUAUGGAGGGAGGUGGAAUUCCUGAUGUAGCAGUGAAAUGCGUAGAUAUGGAGAAGACACCGAUAGCGAAGGCAGCCUCCUGGGAUAACACUGACGCUCAUGCACGAAAGCGUGGGGAGCAAACAGGAUUAGAUACCCUGGUGAUCCACGCCCUAAACGAUGUCAACUAGCUGUUGGGGCCUUCAGGCCUUGGUAGCGCAACUAACGCGUGAAGUUGACCGCCUGGGAAGUACGGUCGCAAGAUUAAAACUCAAAGGAAUUGACGAGGACCCACUGGUGGAUGAUGUGGAUUAAUUCGAUGCAACGCGAAAACCAACACCUGCUGCUUGACAUGUCACCGGAAUCCCGAAGAGAUUUGGGAGUGCUCGCAAGAGGCCGGAACACAGGUGCUGCAUAGCUGUCGUCAGCAGCUCAUUAUUAGUGAGAUGUUGGGUUAAGUCCCGCAACGGCAGGCACUGUGCGCUAUCAUUGAGUUGCUACGAAGGGGCAUCUAAUGAGACUGCCGGUGACAAACCGGAGGAAGGUGGGGAUGACGUCAAGUCCUCGCGGCCCUUAUGGGUGAGGCUUCACACGUCAUACAAUGGUCGGGACAGAGGGUCGCCAACCCGCGAGGAGCCAAUCCCAGAAACCCGAUCGUAGUCGGAUCGCAGUCUGCUCGACUGCGUGAAGUCGGAAUCGCUAGUAAUCGCGGAUCAGCAUGUCGCGGUGAAUACGUUCCGUUCUUGUACCGCACACAUACGUCACACACCAUGGGAAUUGGGUUUUUACCGAAAUGAUUAGCCUAACCGUAAGGAGGCGAUUACCACGGUAGAGUUCAUGACUGGGUGAAGUCGUAACAAGGUAGCCCUGUUACUACCUAACAAUAUAACG
RNAcentral lists this ribosomal RNA (1488 nucleotides) under uncultured Bordetella sp. RNAcentral's name for it is "partial 16S-23S ribosomal RNA intergenic spacer". It matches the Rfam family "Bacterial small subunit ribosomal RNA". Lineage: Bacteria; Pseudomonadati; Pseudomonadota; Betaproteobacteria; Burkholderiales; Alcaligenaceae. The record is from RNAcentral.